This 23-nucleotide non-coding RNA is filed under the name Rattus norvegicus (Norway rat). Lineage: Eukaryota; Metazoa; Chordata; Mammalia; Rodentia; Muridae. The record is from RNAcentral.
UAGUAAGAAGAGAAGCCGUCCAC